Molecule: ribosomal RNA, 301 nt
Filed under: uncultured bacterium
Lineage: Bacteria
Description: partial 16S ribosomal RNA
Rfam family: Bacterial small subunit ribosomal RNA
Source: RNAcentral
CAGUCGCCGCGGGAAUACGAAGGGGGCUAGCGUUGCUCGGAAUUACUGGGCGUAAAGGGAGCGUAGGCGGAUGUUUAAGUCAGAGGUGAAAGCCCAGGGCUCAACCUUGGAACUGCCUUUGAUACUGGACAUCUUGAGUGUGGGAGAGGUAAGCGGAACUCCGAGUGUAGAGGUGAAAUUCGUAGAUAUUCGCAAGAACACCAGUGGCGAAGGCGGCUUACUGGCUCGAAACUGACGCUGAGGCGCGAAAGCGUGGGGAGCAAACAGGAUUAGAUACCCCGGUAGUCCCUGUCUCUUAUAC